CAGAUUGAGGGAUUUUAAUGGCUUUCAGGUAGAAGAAAGUGGAGACAAUCAAGAUGAAUUCUAUGGACAGGCACAUACAGCAGACCAAUGACCGGCUGCAGUGCAUAAAACAGCACUUACAGAACCCGGCAAACUUCCAUAAUGCGGCAACAGAACUCCUGGACUGGUGCGGAGACCCCAGAGCCUUCCAGAGACCGUUUGAGCAGAGCCUGAUGGGUUGUUUGACGGUGGUUAGUCGAGUGGCGGCUCAGCAAGGAUUUGACUUGGAUCUUGGAUACAG
Apaloderma vittatum (bar-tailed trogon) is the source of this 280-nucleotide long non-coding RNA. RefSeq lists it as uncharacterized. Lineage: Eukaryota; Metazoa; Chordata; Aves; Trogoniformes; Trogonidae. The record is from RefSeq and is a predicted model, not a curated record. The transcript is spliced from 3 exons.